UGGCAUUCGAGUGGCGGACGGGUGAGUAACGCGUGGGUAACCUGCCUUACACAGGGGGAUAACACCUGGAAACAGGUGCUAAUACCGCAUAAGCGCACAGGGCCGCAUGGCCCGGUGUGAAAAACUCCGGUGGUGUAAGAUGGACCCGCGUCUGAUUAGCUUGUUGGCGGGGUAGGGGCCCACCAAGGCGACGAUCAGUAGCCGGCCCGAGAGGGUGGACGGCCACAUUGGGACUGAGACACGGCCCAAACUCCUACGGGAGGCAGCAG
RNAcentral lists this ribosomal RNA (269 nucleotides) under uncultured bacterium. Its description in RNAcentral is "partial 16S ribosomal RNA". It matches the Rfam family "Bacterial small subunit ribosomal RNA", at positions 85 to 354 of the family's 1533-position model. The record is from RNAcentral.